UACGAGUGGUGCAAGCAUUAUUCGGAAUCAUUGGGCGUAAAGGGUGCGUAGGCGGCAUAUUAAGUCUACUGUUAAAUAUCUCGGCCUAACCGGGAAAAUGCGGUGGAAACUAGUAAGCUAGAGGAUGGAAGAGAGAAGUGGAAUUCUCGGAGUAGCGGUAAAAUGCGUAGAGUACUCGAGAGGAACACCGAUGGCGAAAGCAGCUUCUUG
Molecule: ribosomal RNA, 210 nt
Filed under: uncultured bacterium
Lineage: Bacteria
Description: partial 16S ribosomal RNA
Rfam family: Bacterial small subunit ribosomal RNA
Source: RNAcentral